GACGAACGCUGGCGGCGUGCCUAAUACAUGCAAGUCGAACGAGAAAUUCUUACACCGGAUGCUUGCAUCCACCGUAAGAUUUCGAGUGGCGGACGGGUGAGUAACACGUGGGUAACCUGCCCAAAAGAAGGGGAUAACAUUUGGAAACAAGUGCUAAUACCGUAUAACCAUGAUGACCGCAUGGUCAUGAUGUAAAAGGUGGUUUUGCUAUCGCUUUUGGAUGGACCCGCGGCGUAUUAACUAGUUGGUAAGGUAACGGCUUACCAAGGUGAUGAUACGUAGCCGAACUGAGAGGUUGAUCGGCCACAAUGGGACUGAGACACGGCCCAUACUCCUACGGGAGGCAGCAGUAGGGAAUCUUCCACAAUGGGCGCAAGCCUGAUGGAGCAACGCCGCGUGAAUGAAGAAGGUCUUCGGGUUGUAAAGCACUUUCAGCGAGGAGGAAGGCCAAUAACUUAAUACGUUGUUGGAUUGACGUUACUCGCAGAAGAAGCACCGGCUAACUCCGUGCCAGCAGCCGCCGUAAAAC
This 529-nucleotide ribosomal RNA is filed under the name uncultured bacterium. RNAcentral describes it as "bacterial SSU rRNA". It matches the Rfam family "Bacterial small subunit ribosomal RNA", at positions 28 to 526 of the family's 1533-position model. The record is from RNAcentral.